Triticum dicoccoides is the source of this 478-nucleotide long non-coding RNA. RefSeq lists it as uncharacterized. The transcript has 3 exons. The record is from RefSeq and is a predicted model, not a curated record. NCBI's taxonomy places the organism in Eukaryota, Viridiplantae, Streptophyta, Magnoliopsida, Poales, Poaceae.
UAUAAUCCAGACUCUAAUGGUAGAUGGAUGUAUUCAAAGAAGUUUAAGAUGUCAACGUGUGCUCGGAAGCGUCUCAGCCACUAUGUUCAGUCAGUUAAGCCUGCUAUAUGCCACUACGUCUGUGAAAUAAACAAGACUUUUGCCAAGCCCGGGCAGAGAAUGUACUUCUCUGCUUUCUUCACUAAGAAGUAUCUGGUGGAUUUCAUUACCACUCCAGUCGAUGGGGUAAAGAUCAAGCUAUCAUCUGGACGGUGUGCAAGACAGGUUCGCCUUAUUAAUGGUGUGGACAAUAGGGCCACCAUAACACUAACUGGAGUGACUUUGCAAAGAAAGCAAAGAUGACAAAAGGGGAAAUAUGUGUUUUCUCCCUUCGAGCUCGCAAUGGGAAACCAGAAUUCACCGUUCACAAGAUCUAAGAAGGUGUCUACAAGGCAGCAUUUAAGGAGGAGUAUGCCAAGGUGUUCCAGAAGGGCAUGUA